Molecule: long non-coding RNA, 3799 nt
Organism: Anopheles coluzzii
Lineage: Eukaryota; Metazoa; Arthropoda; Insecta; Diptera; Culicidae
Exons: 2
Source: RefSeq, a predicted model, not a curated record
GCCAAGGGUUAGUUGAAUGUACCUGCACAAGCACACAGCAAGAAACUUACCUCAACAAUUUGCUAGGAUAAAUCAUUCCAUAACUGAGGAAGAAGGAACACGGCACAAAACGGAAAGUUCUGGACAGACUGAGGAUGCCUAACACCCGGAUGAGCGCGAUAGCAGAAAAAUCAUGUUGGAUCGAGAGAGAUGGGAAGACUCGGUCCAGCGAUAUCCGCUGGUAGAUGCAUGUGUGUGUGACGAACGAAAGACUUCAAACCCCGCUUCCCCCGUAUUUCAUCCAUAAUUUUUUGUCACACGCACACACCUCUGCACGGGCGGCGGUUUGCCGUCCAAAAUCUAGAGAGAGAAGACAGGGCCUCUCGCUUUGGCACACAGCAAAAUCUCUCAACAACUUCGGCUCUGCUACUUGGGUAAAGCCUCUCUAACUAUCCCAUCUUUUCCUGGUGUGAACUUUACUAUUUUCCCUCUGGUCCAUUGGUCUUUUGGUGUAGUUCCUAUUAUGAUCACAAGAUCUCCUAUCUUCAAAUUUUCGACUUCUUUGAACCAUUUACUGCUUUUUGUAAUGACCGGGAGGUAUUCCUUAAGCCACCUUUGCCAAAACUGUUCGGUAAUAUACCUCGCUAGUUUCCAACUACUCCUGAGUGUUGCUUUCUGCUCUACUUCAGGUGAAAGUAUUUUUUUUUUGUUCCGUUCGAGUUGCCUAACAGGAAGUGGUUUGGUGUUAACGCCUCUUCAUCGGCUGAUUCAAGCGGAAUAUACGUUAAGGGUCUGGCGUUUAUCAUUGCUUCAGCUUCUAACAAUAUUGUUUCUAACGUUUCAUCAUCUGGCUUCCGCGUUGUGUCUAUUACUGUACUGAUUGCCGUUUUGACUGACCUAACGAUUCUUUCCCAUGCGCCACCCAUGUGUGGUGUUGCAGGUGGUAUAAAUAUCCAGUUAGUUGUUUGGCUUAUAAAUGUAACUGGAAGUGCGCUACUGAUCCCUUCUUUAAUUUCGUUGCUAGUUCCUUGAAAGCAAGUCGCGUUGUCAGACCAAAACUCUAUGGGCGUGCGUCUUCUAGCAAUGAAUCGCUUUACUGCCAUAAUACACAUUAUUCUGUACUCAGAAAAUAAACUACUUCUAAGUGCACUGCCCUCACUGUUAAGCACGUGAAGAGUGCUAUCCAACGAUUUGCAUUAUCUCGACCAACACGCACUAGUACUGGACCGAAAUAAUCCACUCCGGUGUAGGUAAACGGGUUGGUGAAGGCUGCCAGGCGCAUUUUUGGGAGGGAAGCCAUCGGUGGCGGCUUCGGAUACCUUCUCAUCACUCGGCAGUACGGGCAUGCAUCGGCCACCUUCUUUACUAAUGCUCGUAGAUUGAGGAUGUCAAAGCAUUGGCGUAUUUCGUUCACUACUGUCUCCUGUUUGCAUGUCGAUACUGGUAGUGGUACCAACCUACAAUAAGGAACGUAAGGUGACUAUAUUUGGGAAGUAAAACUGGGUACUUAGCUGCAAAGGUAGCGUAGAUUGAUGCACCGAUCCGUCCUCUCAUCCUUAGUACACCUUCUUCGUCCAUGAAGGGCCACUUUUUAUAGAUAGGACUGGAUUUGCAGACAUUCCCGUGCCGUUCGUCCGAGCCUCCAAGUGUCUUGCUCAGUUCCGUCACCUCAUCUGGGAAGGCUUCGUGUUGCGCAAACUUCCAUUGCGCCAAUUCUGCUUUACGCAGCUUGUCCUGCUUGAGUAUUCCAACUAGACAUGGGCAAGAAGAGCGGGAAUCAUAAAGGCCGGGCUACAUUGAUCGUACUCUCUGGUGUAAUUUUGAUUUUCACUAGCGCAUCUGGCGGCGGCUGGUGGAAGCUUUUUUUAGUCGUCGGGGGAAUGGUCGUGUUGGAUUUCAAAAUUAAUCAGUUUUUUCACCGUUUUUGAUGCAAAAACUGCUGAAAUACUUGUAAAACAUAUUUAUCUAUCAAUUACAAAGCUUUUCCAGUCCAAUUAAAGUAAAAAACAUGGAAAAAUAACGUAUUUUCUGAAGCGGCUCCAAAUUGUUUGGCAAAAUGCUUCGGUCAGUCGCCGCCAGAUGCGCUAGUGAAAAUCAAAAUUACACCAUAGAGUACGAUCAAUGUAGCCCGGCCUUAAGGUUCGCUCGCUCCCAUUAGAGAGCGGGCGCUCGCCGCUCUUCAUUUCAGAAAAAUAUGAUUCGCCCGCUCGCAUAGAAAAAUAUAAAAAAAGCUCGUUUAAAACUAGUUGCCCCGAGAAAAAAAUAAUCAAAAUCUAUAAUACUGUUGGGCUUAUACGGAAUGUAAAUAGUCGCAUGUAAAAAAAUCAAAUAUUUUUAUUGUGGUUAAAGCUAAUACUCAAAUUAACGUUUUAAAAAAAAAAAAAAAAAAAAAAAAAAAAAAAAAAAAAAAAACCUUACAAGCUACUGUCGUCGACCCACACUGCCUAUUCAAAACACACAUAUAAAACAUCGUAGAGCGCGAGCGCAUCGUAUGUGCAAAACACACAGAAAAAAACAGCCUGGCUUGCAAGCGCACUGCUUGUCCAAAAUACGUAGCGAGAAGAUCAGUGUAGCUCGGGAGCGCACUGCCUAUCCAAAAUCCAUGCAGAAAAAAACUGCCUAGCUCGCGAGCGCACUGCCUAUCCAAAAUCCAUGCAGAAAAGAACAGGAUAGCUCGCGAGCGCCCUGCUCAUCCAAAAUACGUACCCGUCCGGCAAAAUGAGUGUAUUUUUUGAGUGAUUUGAGUACCGUCCCCCGUUAGCAGUUACUCUUAGAGGAAUGAGUUACACCCUAGAACGAGCCUUCCCCCUCACCCCACCCGGAACGCACGGUGCGCUCUGCAGUUCUCAAUGUGUUGUGUUCUUUCCAAUCAUGCUACCAACACAUCCAAAGAUAUUUGUUUCUUUCGUUUCUCGUUUUCUUUCAUUCAUUGCCACGAUCGCAAAUACGCACUUAUUCUAACAACAAACACAAACACGGUCAUUUUUGGUUACAUUAAAUACUUUAUUGAAACAUAAAUUACACUUUCACAACACAUUUAGAAUCCUUCAUACUCACGAAUGGCGUCAUACUGUAAAGUACCGGGUCGAGCCAGGCUGCGGGAAACUUGUCGACAAUCUGCGUUGCCUCUGUUCAGCAAAUUCUUACCUGUCGAUGCACGCACUGCAUGUGCGUCUGUACACACUGUUCACUUCACACUUUAUCAAAACACACCAGCGCACGAAAUGCGCACCAACGCACAAACACUGCGCGCGGGACUUAGAACGAAACGCGCACAACCAUCUCCGGCAAAGCGUCGCGCUGUACUGGUUGUUUUGUACGCGUAGGAGGGGGGACAUACGGAGCGAUGGUUCGAUGCUGUAGUGUAAGCGAGACAACACGAUGUGACGAGCAGCUCGAAGUUGUUGAGCUCGCUGAAAGAAGACACACACAUUCACAGACGGCUCGUCAAAGCACGGUAUUUGUAUUGGUGUUAGUGAAGCGCGCGUGUAAAACAGAAUGCGAACUCUCAUCGCAGCGCGUUUCUCCUUGCUUCCUCAAGCUUCCUCAUACCCCUCGACCUGAAUAACUCAACAUUUGGGGUCUCAUUGUUUGCGUGGUCCUCAUACCCCUCGGCCUGAAUAACUCAACAUUUGGGGUCUCAUUGUUUGCGUGGUUGAGAGAGCGAUAGUGCAAAAAAAGAGGGAGAUCUAACCUACAGCGCACAUGCAGUGAGUAUUCUCAUUCGUGCGGUUGAGCUAAGGCAAAUAGGACUAACGGGCCCGUGCAAUUAAUUUAUAAUUAGGGAAUAAAGGAUUUCAUUUGUUUGUGUCAAUGCAAA